AAACAUUGUUUCUUGAUUAAAACCAUAAGAAAUAAGUACUGCCCAGUGAUUUAAUUUAACGGCCGCGGUAUACUGACCGUGCGAAGGUAGCAUAAUAAUUUGUCUCCUAAUUAGGGAAUAGAAUGAAUGAAUCAACCCAAAACAUGCUGUCUCUAUUACAUGCCAAUAACUUUAUCUUCAGGUGAAAAAGCCUGGAUACAAUAAAAAGACAAGAAGACCCUAAAAGCUUUAUAUCUAAUCACUAACUUAAAAUGUUAUGAUCUUUUGUUGGGAUGACAACAAGUAUACAAAACACUUGUAAAAAUAAAGACCAUGUCUCUACCAUUUUAACCAAAAAAAGAAUACAUGUAAGCUACUUUAGGGGUAACAGGCUAAUAUUCUUAAAGAGUACAUAUUGACAAGAAUGUUUGGCACCUCGAUGUUGGCUUAGAGACUCUCUUUUAUGCAAAAGUAAAAACAGAAGGUUUGUUCAACCUAUAAUCCUCUACAUGAUCUG
This 496-nucleotide ribosomal RNA is filed under the name Ramisyllis kingghidorahi. RNAcentral's name for it is "Ramisyllis sp. k GPS-2021 partial large subunit ribosomal RNA". It matches the Rfam family "Bacterial large subunit ribosomal RNA", at positions 1811 to 2607 of the family's 2925-position model. The record is from RNAcentral. Lineage: Eukaryota; Metazoa; Annelida; Polychaeta; Phyllodocida; Syllidae.